Molecule: ribosomal RNA, 301 nt
Filed under: uncultured bacterium
Lineage: Bacteria
Description: partial 16S ribosomal RNA
Rfam family: Bacterial small subunit ribosomal RNA
Source: RNAcentral
CAGUCGCCACGGUAAUACGUAGGGUGCAAGCGUUAAUCGGAAUUACUGGGCGUAAAGCGUGCGCAGGCGGUUAUAUAAGUCAGAUGUGAAAUCCCCGGGCUCAACCUGGGAACUGCAUUUUAGACUGUAUGGCUAGAGUGUGUCAGAGGGGGGUAGAAUUCCACGUGUAGCAGUGAAAUGCGUAGAUAUGUGGAGGAAUACCGAUGGCGAAGGCAGCCCCCUGGGAUAACACUGACGCUCAUGCACGAAAGCGUGGGGAGCAAACAGGAUUAGAUACCCGGGUAGUCCCUGUCUCUUAUAC